RNAcentral lists this ribosomal RNA (1229 nucleotides) under Campylobacter jejuni. Its description in RNAcentral is "partial 23S ribosomal RNA". It matches the Rfam family "Bacterial large subunit ribosomal RNA", at positions 1 to 1223 of the family's 2925-position model. The record is from RNAcentral. Lineage: Bacteria; Pseudomonadati; Campylobacterota; Epsilonproteobacteria; Campylobacterales; Campylobacteraceae.
AGGUAAGCUACUAAGAGCGAAUGGUGGAUGCCUUGACUGGUAAAGGCGAUGAAGGACGUACUAGACUGCGAUAAGCUACGGGGAGCUGUCAAGAAGCUUUGAUCCGUAGAUUUCCGAAUGGGGCAACCCAAUGUAUAGAGAUAUACAUUACCUAUAUAGGAGCGAACGAGGGGAAUUGAAACAUCUUAGUACCCUCAGGAAAAGAAAUCAAUAGAGAUUGCGUCAGUAGCGGCGAGCGAAAGCGCAAGAGGGCAAACCCAGUGCUUGCACUGGGGGUUGUAGGACUGCAAUGUGCAAGAGCUGAGUUUAGCAGAACAUUCUGGAAAGUAUAGCCAUAGAGGGUGAUAGUCCCGUAUGCGAAAAACAAAGCUUAGCUAGCAGUAUCCUGAGUAGGGCGGGACACGAGGAAUCCUGUCUGAAUCCGGGUCGACCACGAUCCAACCCUAAAUACUAAUACCAGAUCGAUAGUGCACAAGUACCGUGAGGGAAAGGUGAAAAGAACUGAGGUGAUCAGAGUGAAAUAGAACCUGAAACCAUUUGCUUACAAUCAUUCAGAGCACUAUGUAGCAAUACAGUGUGAUGGACUGCCUUUUGCAUAAUGAGCCUGCGAGUUGUGGUGUCUGGCAAGGUUAAGCAAACGCGAAGCCGUAGCGAAAGCGAGUCUGAAUAGGGCGCUUAGUCAGAUGCUGCAGACCCGAAACGAAGUGAUCUAUCCAUGAGCAAGUUGAAGCUAGUGUAAGAACUAGUGGAGGACUGAACCCAUAGGCGUUGAAAAGCCCCAGGAUGACUUGUGGAUAGGGGUGAAAGGCCAAUCAAACUUCGUGAUAGCUGGUUCUCUCCGAAAUAUAUUUAGGUAUAGCGUUGUGUCGUAAUAUAAGGGGGUAGAGCACUGAAUGGGCUAGGGCAUACACCAAUGUACCAAACCCUAUCAAACUCCGAAUACCUUAUAUGUAAUCACAGCAGUCAGGCGGCGAGUGAUAAAAUCCGUCGUCAAGAGGGAAACAACCCAGACUACCAGCUAAGGUCCCUAAAUCUUACUUAAGUGGAAAACGAUGUGAAGUUACUUAAACAACCAGGAGGUUGGCUUAGAAGCAGCCAUCCUUUAAAGAAAGCGUAAUAGCUCACUGGUCUAGUGAUUUUGCGCGGAAAAUAUAACGGGGCUAAAGUAAGUACCGAAGCUGUAGACUUGCACACAACUUAGAUUAUUUAAGUUUAGAAUAAGUAGUUUA